UGCAGUCGAACGAUACUCUUUAGCUUGCUAAGGAGGAAAGUGGCGCACGGGUGCGUAACGCGUAUGCAACCUACCUUAAUCAGGGGGAUAGCCCGAAGAAAUUCGGAUUAACACCGCAUAAAAUCACAGUACAGCAUUGUACAAUGAUCAAAUAUUUAUAGGAUUAAGAUGGGCAUGCGUGACAUUAGUUAGUUGGCGGGGUAACGGCCCACCAAGACCACGAUGUCUAGGGGAUCUGAGAGGAUGACCCCCCACACUGGUACUGAGACACGGACCAGACUCCUACGGGAGGCAGCAGUAAGGAAUAUUGGUCAAUGGAGGCAACUCUGAACCAGCCAUGCCGCGUGCAGGAAGACAGCCCUCUGGGUCGUAAACUGCUUUUAUUCGGGAAUAAACCUACUUACGUGUAAGUAGCUGAAUGUACCGAAGGAAUAAGGAUCGGCUAACUCCGUGCCAGCAGCCGCGGUAAUACGGAGGAUCCAAGCGUUAUCCGGAUUUAUUGGGUUUAAAGGGUGCGUAGGCGGCUUUUUAAGUCAGGGGUGAAAGACGGUGGCUCAACCAUCGCAGUGCCCUUGAUACUGAAGAGCUUGAAUGAAUUAGAGGUAGGCGGAAUGUGACAAGUAGCGGUGAAAUGCAUAGAUAUGUCACAGAACACCGAUUGCGAAGGCAGCUUACUAUGAUUUUAUUGACGCUGAGGCACGAAAGCGUGGGGAUCAAACAGGAUUAGAUACCCUGGUAGUCCACGCCCUAAACGAUGAAUACUCGCUGUUAGCGAUACACAGUUAGCGGCUAAGCGAAAGCGUUAAGUAUUCCACCUGGGGAGUACGGUCGCAAGAUUGAAACUCAAAGGAAUUGACGGGGGCCCGCACAAGCGGAGGAGCAUGUGGUUUAAUUCGAUGAUACGCGAGGAACCUUACCCGGGCUUGAAAGUUAGUGAAUCAUUUAGAGAUAGAUGAGUCCGCAAGGACACGAAACUAGGUGCUGCAUGGCUGUCGUCAGCUCGUGCCGUGAGGUGUUGGGUUAAGUCCCGCAACGAGCGCAACCCCUAUGUUUAGUUGCCAGCACGUUAAGGUGGGGACUCUAAACAGACUGCCUGUGCAAACAGAGAGGAAGGAGGGGACGACGUCAAGUCAUCAUGGCCCUUACGUCCGGGGCUACACACGUGCUACAAUGGAUGGUACAGAGGGCAGCAAGCUGGUAACAGCAAGCAAAUCUCCAAAAGCCAUUCACAGUUCGGAUAGAGGUCUGCAACUCGACCUCUUGAAGUUGGAUUCGCUAGUAAUCGUAUAUCAGCAAUGAUACGGUGAAUACGUUCCCGGGCCUUGUACACACCGCCCGUCAAGCCAUGGAAGUUGGGGGUACCUAAAGUAUGUAACCGCAAGGAGC
This 1386-nucleotide ribosomal RNA is filed under the name Pedobacter cryoconitis. RNAcentral describes it as "bacterial SSU rRNA". It matches the Rfam family "Bacterial small subunit ribosomal RNA". Lineage: Bacteria; Pseudomonadati; Bacteroidota; Sphingobacteriia; Sphingobacteriales; Sphingobacteriaceae. The record is from RNAcentral.